AGGGCAGUGGCUCAAUUGGAAGAGCACCGGUCUCCAAAACCGGCGGUUGGGGGUUCGAGUCCCUCCUGCCCUGCAA
This 76-nucleotide transfer RNA is filed under the name Streptomonospora alba. Its description in RNAcentral is "tRNA-Trp". It matches the Rfam family "tRNA". Rfam says of the family: Transfer RNA (tRNA) molecules are approximately 80 nucleotides in length. Their secondary structure includes four short double-helical elements and three loops (D, anti-codon, and T loops). The record is from RNAcentral. RNAcentral also lists the same sequence under 1 other name. Lineage: Bacteria; Bacillati; Actinomycetota; Actinomycetes; Streptosporangiales; Nocardiopsidaceae.